AGCAAAAGAGGGGAAAUUAAAAAGGAAAAAAAGGGAGGUGUGGAAGGAGGAGAAGAGGGGGCGAAAAAUAGAAGGGGGGGCGGGAAAAAAAGAAAAAAAAAAAAGAAAAAAAGGGAAGCCGUCCCCAAACUGUGCCAAACCCCGGAGCGAGCAGGGAUGGCGCACCCCGGUUGGCUCUGCCUGCUGCAGGGCUCCCUCCUCCUGCUGGCCACGGCGCGGCAGAGCCGCGGCCCCCCCGCCUGCCCGCUCCCCGCAAAGCAAAGCGAGCUGAACUCCUUCCUGUGGACCAUCAAGAGAGAUCCCCCGUCUUACUUCUUUGGCACCAUCCAUGUCCCAUACACUCGUGUCUGGGAUUUCAUCCCAGAGAACUCCAAGAAGGCCUUCCAGCAAAGCCACAUCGUAUACUUCGAGCUGGACCUCACCGACCCCUAUACCAUCUCAGCUCUCACCAGCUGCCAGCUCCUGCCACAGGGGGAAAACCUCCAGGACGUACUGCCCCGUGACAUCUACCGCCGGCUCAAGCGGCACCUGGAGUACGUCAAGCUCAUGAUGCCAUCCUGGAUGACCCCAGACCAGCGGGGCAAAGGGCUGUACGCAGACUACCUCUUCAAUGCCAUUGCUGGCAACUGGGAGCGGAAGAGGCCAGUGUGGGUGAUGCUGAUGGUGAACUCUCUGACAGAGGUAGACAUCAAGUCACGAGGUGUGCCCGUCCUGGAUCUGUACCUGGCCCAGGAAGCAGAGCGGCUAAGGAAGCAAACGGGUGCUGUGGAGAAAGUGGAGGAGCAGUGCCACCCGCUCAAUGGGCUGAACUUCUCCCAGGUGGUCUUUGCUUUGAAUCAGACUCUCUUGCAGCAGGAGAGCCUCCGAGCAGGCAGUUUCCAGAUCCCCUAUACGACAGAAGACCUUAUCAAGCAUUACAACUGUGGGGACCUCAGCUCCAUCGUCUUCAGCCAUGACACUUCUCAAGUCCCAAAUUUCAUUAAUGCUACACUUCCAGCGCAUGAACGUAUGACUGCCCAAGAGAUAGACAGAUACUUCCGUCAGGAGCUCAUCUACAAGCGAAAUCAGCGAAUGGGCAGAAGGGUGAAGGACCUGCUGGAGGAGUACCCAGACAAGAGUUUCUUCUUUGCAUUUGGAGCUGGUCACUUCAUGGGCAACAACACAGUGAUUGAUGUUUUGAGGAGAGAAGGGUACGAGGUAGAACACACUCCAGCUGGACAAGCCAUCAACAACAGAAAACACCCCAAAACCGUGUUAGCCUUUUCAUCAUCAUCAGUGCCACACAGCCCUUAUAUCAUGUCCCAAGAGCUCCCACUGCCGUUGCACCCCCGGAAGGAGGAGGAGGAAGAACUCCUGCCACACCUGCUGCUCCCUGACAGCAUUGACAUCCUGGAGAAGGUAGACAGGAAGUACAAAAAGAAGAAGAAGCAGCAGCAGAAGAAACAAAGACUGCGACAGUUUAAUGACCUCUGGGUUCGCCUUGAAGAAAGUGCUACUGACCCUCCUCCCCGGAUCCGCAUCAUUAACGGCUACAUCACGGUCGAACCCCAGCCCCGGGGCCACAGACGGUCUAGUCAUGCUCACACAGACACCGGCAGCGCUCACCAGCUUUCCCAUUCUCUCUUCCUCCUGCUACUGACUUUGACUUUGCAGACAACGAGGCUGCAUUGAAACACAGGGGAGCCAAGGUGCAGGGCUCUUGCCUUAAAAAGCAAGAAAGAAACUUACGUGAAAAAACAUAAACAGAAGACUCUGAGCGGCACACCUGUUCUUUGGGGUGUUCUUAAAUUGCCUCCUUUUCCUGAAUCUGGAUCAUUAACACUAUUAACUGGUUUGACCUGCCCAAUACAGGAGAAGAUAUUUUAAUGAAAGUGUUAUUUAUCCUUCUCUUGCAGAAGAAUGAUUUCAUGUUAUCCCAUAAUGAUUUGGGGAGAUUAUAAUAUUGCUAUAACAUAGCUGUUGUUUAGCUUUAUGAGCCCAACUAAAUUACAUUUUUUUCACCUUCAGUGCCUUGUAAGAAGAUUUACACACCACUAACUUGUUUAUUACAACGGAAUAUUUUGGUCAUAUGAGCACAGCUGGGAAAGAGAGGACAUCCUCUUGUGAUCACACUGACUCAUUGUGUGAGCAACAUAUUCCUCUCUCCUCUUAGGAGGGUUUCACUGCCUGGGAAGGUCUCACAAGAUUCAUCCAUGGGAGGGCUUGGACCCAAUGUGCUGAGCCUGGUACCCUGGAAACACAGCAGACACCCAUGCUGUCUCACCCCGAAAGACAACAAAUCCUCAGGUUUCCCUUCCUAUGCAUGUACGCGUGCUUCACCACUUUUUUCAUUGCCAACAGAAAAUACCUCUUUUUUUGAUCCUCAUCCUUCUACUGCACAUUGGAAGAGGAGAGGAGCAAACAGUUCCAGCUUUCCUAACAGGCUUUUCAUGUCGUGAUCUCAAAUUUUAGUCCUCCUUCAGAAGGACUAAACCUGAAUAAAGCCUUAGUUUGCUGAGGAAAACAGAAAAAGGAGAGACUAAAUAUUGCAGUUUGCAGCAGGACUGUGGGGAAUUAAAUGUAUCUGAGCUGGGGUAGAAGAUGGUACCAUCUCAUUGUAUAUUCUUUCUCACGGGGAAUUCUAAAAGACCUCAGGGUCCCAGAUGCAUUCUGGCUUCCUUGGCUUCACACAGCAGCCAGGUUGGUGAUGUGCUCUGCCCUGUCUCCCUAUGUGGUUGAUCUUUCACUAGUGUAAACUGCUGACCUGGUGGGUCCAGAACUAUUUUCCUUGGCCUGAAUGUGACCUCAGGGGAGCAGAUCAGACGGGGGAUAGCUUAAUUACAAAGAGACACUGCAGGCCUGACAAACUGAGCACAUACUUGUGUGUCUACCAGCGCAGCUGAGGAGACGUGUUCUGCCACUUGCUAGCCUAUGUGUUGGUAUUGCUUGUCCUCCCCCUGUCCUCUGUCCCUCAGAAAAGCAUGAUGAGGUGUGGCACAGGUCCAAAAGGCACUGGAAGCACUGGGAGAAGGGACUGAGCCAGAGCUUCCAUUUCUUUUCUCCAUUACAAGACAAAGGCUGCUGUGUAAAAUAGCCCCAGGGCUGACUUUCUGUUUUGUUCCCUCCUCCAUGGUUGCUCCUGAGCUUUGCCUCUGUGAGGGGUGUUGAGUCAGUGGAGCAGCCACCAUCAUUUUUCUUAGGUUGGCAAUGAGGGAAGAGUAAUUACAAAACACUCAGGAAUAACUCAGAACACUCAGAGACCUGAAGUAGCACUAUGGAUGAUUCAGUUCUGGUGGUUUAACUCAUUUUGUAGCCUGUUUCCAAGUGCGUGUCUGUGUCAGGGAAAUAGAGAUGUCUUGAAACUGUGGAUUGUGUGGUAUUUUUGAGAGUCUCAUGGCUUGAUACCUGUGAACUAAUCUAGUGGUUCCUACCCCUCACUUUUUCUUCCAGACCAGUCAUUGCUGACUGGCCAUGGGACACCAAAGUCUUGAAAUUCUGACUGAUAGCCUUACUCCAGCUGUGCAUCCUAGUCAGCUGUUUACAGUGACCACUGGGGAGUGCUAGGUUUGGGUCCUGUUGUUUCUCCCUAGUUUCAGAACAAGAAAAGUCUAACAGAAUUGGAACAGCCCAAGGAGCCAUCCUAAUGGCCAAAGUCUGCUCAGAGCUUUCUCUGGGCACAGAGCAUCAGGAAGGCAAGCAUUCACAUCAUGUGCCUGGAAGACUUCAAUCACUGUCCCUGUAUGUGUCCCUCCCAAGCAGCUGACGUAGCUUUUGUUGCUUUGCAAUUGAGAUUCAGUCAGGCUUGUGAUGAGUAGCAGACUUGAUUCAGAAAUCACUGUGAAAGUGCAGGUACUUCUUUCUUCAGUGCAGGGGCUGAAAUCUCCUGUUGUCUCCUGAGCUAGGUGCCUCCACAUCAUCUAAGUGCUAUAACAAAGCAUUCUUUGUUAUAUCUGAACAUCCUUUUCCGUUCUCUUUCCUUUGUAUUUACUAACUAGCCUGU
Molecule: RNA transcript, 3979 nt
Organism: Chroicocephalus ridibundus (black-headed gull)
Lineage: Eukaryota; Metazoa; Chordata; Aves; Charadriiformes; Laridae
Gene: TRABD2A
Gene name: TraB domain containing 2A
Exons: 8
Source: RefSeq, a predicted model, not a curated record